This 833-nucleotide ribosomal RNA is filed under the name uncultured Bacteroidota bacterium. RNAcentral describes it as "bacterial SSU rRNA". It matches the Rfam family "Bacterial small subunit ribosomal RNA", at positions 59 to 888 of the family's 1533-position model. The record is from RNAcentral. Lineage: Bacteria; Pseudomonadati; Bacteroidota.
AAGUCGAGGGGCAGCGCGGGGCGGCAACGUCCUGGCGGCGACCGGCGGAAGGGUGCGUAACGCGUGAGCGACAUGCCCGUUGCCCGGGGACAACCGGUGGAAACGCCGACUAAUCCCCGAUGGGACGGAGGCCCUCAUGGGUCUCUGUUGAAAGUUACGGCGGCGACGGAUUGGCUCGCGUCCGAUUAGCUUGUUGGCGGGGUAACGGCCCACCAAGGCUACGAUCGGUAGGGGUUCUGAGAGGAAGGUCCCCCACAAUGGAACUGAGACACGGUCCAUACUCCUACGGGAGGCAGCAGUGAGGAAUAUUGGUCAAUGGGCGGAAGCCUGAACCAGCCAUGCCGCGUGCGGGAAGGAGGCCCUAUGGGCUGUGAACCGCUUUUGCCUGGGGGCAAUAAGGGCGUCGCGCACGUCCGAUGAGAGUACCAGGGGAAUAAGCAUCGGCUAACUCCGUGCCAGCAGCCGCGGUAAUACGGGGGAUGCGAGCGUUAUCCGGAUUCAUUGGGUUUAAAGGGUGCGUAGGCUGUGCGUCAAGUCAGGGGUGAAAUUCCGGGGCUCAACUCCGGGGCUGCCCUUGAUACUGUCGCGCUGGAGUGCGGAUGCCGCCGGAGGAAUGAGUGGUGUAGCGGUGAAAUGCUUAGAUAUCACUCAGAACACCGAUUGCGAAGGCAUCUGGCGAAUCCGUAACUGACGCUGAGGCACGAAAGCGUGGGGAUAGAACAGGAUUAGAUACCCUGGUAUUCCACGCCGUAAACGAUGAUGGCUAACCGCCGGCGACAUACUGUCGGUGGCCAAGCGAAAGCGAUAAGCCAUCCACCUGGGGAGUGCGUCGG